RNAcentral lists this transfer RNA (78 nucleotides) under Clostridia bacterium. RNAcentral describes it as "tRNA-Asp". It matches the Rfam family "tRNA". From Rfam's summary of the family: Transfer RNA (tRNA) molecules are approximately 80 nucleotides in length. Their secondary structure includes four short double-helical elements and three loops (D, anti-codon, and T loops). Further hydrogen bonds mediate the characteristic L-shaped molecular structure. tRNAs have two regions of fundamental functional importance: the anti-codon, which is responsible for specific mRNA codon recognition, and the 3' end, to which the tRNAs corresponding amino acid is attached (by aminoacyl-tRNA synthetases). tRNAs cope with the degeneracy of the genetic code in two manners: having more than one tRNA (with a specific anti-codon) for a particular amino acid; and 'wobble' base-pairing, i.e. permitting non-standard base-pairing at the 3rd anti-codon position. Lineage: Bacteria; Bacillati; Bacillota; Clostridia. The record is from RNAcentral.
GGCCUGGUAGUUCAGUUUGGUUAGAAUGCCGCCCUGUCACGGCGGAGGUCGACGGUUCGAGCCCGUUCCAGGUCGCCA